RNAcentral lists this unclassified non-coding RNA (272 nucleotides) under uncultured Ascomycota. RNAcentral describes it as "sequence contains 5.8S rRNA gene, ITS2, 28S rRNA gene". Lineage: Eukaryota; Fungi; Ascomycota. The record is from RNAcentral.
AACGCACAUUGCGCCCGCUGGCAUUCCGGCGGGCACGCCUGUUCGAGCGUAAUAUCAAACCGUAUCAAGCCUGUUCUUGAAUGGGCCUGGUUAUGGGUUUACCCGUCUUGCGAUGGGGACCCCAAAUGCAUCGUCGGUAAAGGGUUGUGAAGAUUGGUUUUGGAACAUUACCUACCUUUUUAACGACCGCUUACCCGACACGGUUAACUGGAGUUGGUUAAGACUCCUUGUUCAUUUACCUCGGAUCAGGUGGGGAUACCCGCUGAACUUAA